This 3546-nucleotide ribosomal RNA is filed under the name Triticum aestivum (bread wheat). Its description in RNAcentral is "partial small subunit ribosomal RNA". Lineage: Eukaryota; Viridiplantae; Streptophyta; Magnoliopsida; Poales; Poaceae. The record is from RNAcentral.
AUGGUGGCUCGUCACACUUGGCCGCUGCCGCUCGUGCUCGCUGUCCUGGCGGCGGCAUUGCUCGUGGCGGCGCCGGCCGUGGCGGACGCGUCGGCGCCCGUGCACCUCGAGGCGCUGCUGGCGUUCAAGAAGGGCGUCACCGCCGACCCGCUCGGCGCGCUGUCCGACUGGAUGGCGGGGGCUGGCGACGCCGUCCGCGGCGGGGUGCCGCGCCACUGCAACUGGACCGGCGUCGCCUGCGACGGCGCGGGCCGCGUCACGUCCAUCCAGCUGCUCCAGACCCAGCUCCAGGGCGCGCUCACGCCGUUCCUCGGCAACAUCUCCACGCUCCAGCUCCUCGACCUCACCGAGAACGGCUUCACCGGCGCCAUCCCGCCGCAGCUCGGCCGCCUCGGCCAGCUCCAGCAGCUCGUCCUCGCCGAGAACGGCUUCGCCGGCGGCAUCCCCCCGGAGCUCGGCGACCUGGCGAGCCUGCAGCUCCUGGACCUCAGCAACAACUCCCUCAGCGGCGGCAUCCCGAGCAGCCUCUGCAACUGCUCGGCGAUGUGGGCGCUCGGCGUGGACAUCAACAACCUCACCGGCCAAAUCCCGUCAUGCAUCGGCGAUCUGGACAAACUCCAGAUAUUCGAGGCCUUUAUGAACAAUCUCGACGGUGAGCUUCCGCCGUCAUUCGCCAAGCUCACGCAGAUGAAGUCGCUGGACCUCAGCGCCAACAAGCUGUCCGGCUCGAUCCCGCAGGAGAUCGGGAACUUCUCGCACCUCUGGAUUCUUCAGAUGUCGGAAAACCGUUUCUCCGGCCCAAUCCCGUCGGAGCUCGGCCGGUGUAAGAACCUCACCAGGCUCAACAUAUACAGCAACCGAUUCACCGGCGCCAUCCCUCGCGAGCUUGGGGAGCUCGUGAACCUGGAGGAGUUGCGCCUGUACGACAACGCGCUGUCGUCCGAGAUCCCGAGCUCGCUCCGGCGGUGCACGUCGCUGCUGGCGCUGCAGCUGUCCAUGAAUCAGCUGACCGGCUCGAUCCCACCGGAGCUCGGCGAGCUCCGGUCGCUGCAGACACUGACACUCCACGCCAACCGGCUCACCGGCACGGUUCCGACGUCUCUGACGAAUCUUGUCAACCUUACAUACCUGUCGCUCAACCAGAACUCUCUGUCUGGCCGGCUGCCGGAGAACAUCGGGUCGCUCCAGAAUCUCCAGAAGCUCGUCGUCCACGCCAACUCCCUCUCCGGCCCGAUCCCAGCGAGCAUCGCCAACUGCACGAUGCUCUCCAACGCGAGCAUGUCAAACAACGAGUUCACGGGCCACCUGCCUGCUGGGCUUGGCCGGCUAAAGGAACUCGCGUUCCUUUCAGUUGGCGCCAACUCGCUGACCGGAGGCAUACCGGAGGACCUGUUCGACUGCGGCAGCCUCCGCACGCUGGACCUGGCGUGGAACAACUUCACCGGUGGUCUGAACCGCCGCGUCGGCCAGCUCGGCGAGCUCAGACGGCUGCUUCUGCAAUGGAACGCGCUGUCGGGGACGAUACCGGAGGAGAUCGGCAACCUGACGAACCUCAUCGACCUGAAGCUCGGCGGGAACCGGUUCGCCGGCCGAGUACCGGCGAGCAUCUCCAACAUGUCGUCUUCCCUUCAGGUGCUGGACCUGUCGCACAACCGCCUCAACGGCGCCCUGCCCGACGAGCUCUUCGAGCUCCGGCAGCUCACCAUCCUCGACCUUGGGUCGAACAGGUUCGCCGGCGCGAUCCCCGCCGAGGUCUCCAACCUCCGGUCGCUCUCGUUCCUCGACCUUUCGAAGAACAGGCUGAACGGCACGUUCCCCGCCGGGCUCGGUGGCCACGAGCAGCUCCUCACGCUGGACCUGUCGCACAACCGCCUCUCCGGCGCGAUCCCCGGCGCAGCGGUCGCGGCCAUGAGCACCAUGCAGAUGUACCUCAACCUGUCCAACAACGCGUUCACGGGCCCGAUACCACGGGAGGUGGGCGGGCUCACGAUGGUCCAAGCCAUCGACCUGUCGAACAACCAGCUCUCCGGCGGCAUCCCGGCGACGCUGGCCGGCUGCAAGAACCUGUACUCGCUCGAUCUCUCGGCCAACAACCUCGUCGGCACCCUCCCGGCCGGUCUCUUCCCCCAGCUCGACCUCCUGACGACCCUCAACGUCUCCCACAACGACCUCGACGGAGAGAUCAACCCUGACAUGGCCGCGCUGAAGCACAUUCAGACGCUUGACCUGUCGAGCAACGCGUUCGCCGGGACCAUACCGCCGGCGCUGGCGAACCUGACGAGCCUGAGGGAGCUCAACCUGUCUUCCAACCACUUGGAGGGCCCCGUGCCGGACACCGGAGUGUUCAGGAACCUGAGCGUGUCGAGCCUGCAGGGCAAUCCCGGCCUCUGCGGGUGGAACCUCCUCGCGCCGUGCCACGCCGCCGGCGCUGGGAAGCCGCGGUUCUCGAGGACAGGGCUCGUGGUGCUCGUCGUGCUGCUGGUGCUGGCGUUGCUGCUGCUCUUCUCACUCGUGACGAUUCUAGUUGUUGGCUGCCGGCGAUACAAGAAGAAGAGGGUGAAGUCUGACGGCUCCUCCCAUCUGUCGGAGACCUUCGUCGUGCCGGAACUGAGGAGAUUCACAUACGGCGAGCUGGAGUCGGCCACCGGCUCGUUCGACCAAGGCAACGUGAUCGGGAGCAGCAGCCUGAGCACGGUGUACAAGGGCGUGCUCGUCGAGCCGGGCGGCAAGGCCGUCGCCGUGAAGCGGCUCAACCUGGAGCAGUUCCCGGCCAUGUCGGACAAGAGCUUCCUCACGGAGCUCGCGACGCUGAGCCGGCUGAGGCACAAGAACCUGGCGCGGGUGGUCGGGUACGCGUGGGAGGCCUUCAAGAUGAAGGCCCUGGUCCUCGAGUACAUGGACAACGGCGACCUCGACGGCGCGAUACACGGCCCCGACGCGCCGCGGUGGACGGUGGCGGAGCGGCUGCGCGUGUGCGUCUCCGUGGCGCACGGGCUCGUGUACCUGCACUCCGGCUACGGAUUCCCCAUCGUGCACUGCGACGUCAAGCCCUCCAACGUCUUGCUGGACGCCGACUGGGAGGCGCGCGUCAGCGACUUUGGCACGGCGCGGAUGCUGGGCGUCCACCUGACGGACGCGGCCGCGCCCGACUCGGCGACGUCGUCGACGUUCCGGGGCACCGUCGGGUACAUGGCACCAGAGUUGGCGUACAUGCGGGGCGCCACGCCGAAGGCGGACGUGUUCAGCUUCGGUGUCCUGGUGAUGGAGCUGUUCACCAAGCGGAGGCCGACGGGGAACAUCGAGGAGGACGGCGUGCCGAUGACGCUGCAGCAGCUCGUCGGCAACGCGCUCUCCAGGGGCCUCGAGGGCGUCGCCGGCGUGCUGGACUCCGGCAUGAAGGUGGCCACCGAGAUAGAGCUGUCCACGGCCGCCGACGCGCUGCGCCUGGCAUCGUCGUGCGCCGAGUUCGAGCCCGCGGACCGGCCCGACAUGAACGGCGUGCUCUCGGCGCUCCUCAAGAUGAGCAGAGCCUGUGGAGGAGACUAG